This 860-nucleotide ribosomal RNA is filed under the name Microbacterium sp. KC038-AaL. RNAcentral's name for it is "bacterial SSU rRNA". It matches the Rfam family "Bacterial small subunit ribosomal RNA", at positions 627 to 1483 of the family's 1533-position model. The record is from RNAcentral. Lineage: Bacteria; Bacillati; Actinomycetota; Actinomycetes; Micrococcales; Microbacteriaceae.
UGGGUACGGGCAGACUAGAGUGCGGUAGGGGAGAUUGGAAUUCCUGGUGUAGCGGUGGAAUGCGCAGAUAUCAGGAGGAACACCGAUGGCGAAGGCAGAUCUCUGGGCCGUAACUGACGCUGAGGAGCGAAAGGGUGGGGAGCAAACAGGCUUAGAUACCCUGGUAGUCCACCCCGUAAACGUUGGGAACUAGUUGUGGGGUCCAUUCCACGGAUUCCGUGACGCAGCUAACGCAUUAAGUUCCCCGCCUGGGGAGUACGGCUGCAAGGCUAAAACUCAAAGGAAUUGACGGGGACCCGCACAAGCGGCGGAGCAUGCGGAUUAAUUCGAUGCAACGCGAAGAACCUUACCAAGGCUUGACAUACACGAGAACGCUGCAGAAAUGUAGAACUCUUUGGACACUCGUGAACAGGUGGUGCAUGGUUGUCGUCAGCUCGUGUCGUGAGAUGUUGGGUUAAGUCCCGCAACGAGCGCAACCCUCGUUCUAUGUUGCCAGCACGUAAUGGUGGGAACUCAUGGGAUACUGCCGGGGUCAACUCGGAGGAAGGUGGGGAUGACGUCAAAUCAUCAUGCCCCUUAUGUCUUGGGCUUCACGCAUGCUACAAUGGCCGGUACAAAGGGCUGCGAUACCGUAAGGUGGAGCGAAUCCCAAAAAGCCGGUCCCAGUUCGGAUUGAGGUCUGCAACUCGACCUCAUGAAGUCGGAGUCGCUAGUAAUCGCAGAUCAGCAACGCUGCGGUGAAUACGUUCCCGGGUCUUGUACACACCGCCCGUCAAGUCAUGAAAGUCGGUAACACCUGAAGCCGGUGGCCCAACCCUUGUGGAGGGAGCCGUCGAAGGUGGGAUCGGUAAUUAGGACUA